This 306-nucleotide signal recognition particle RNA is filed under the name Candidatus Helarchaeota archaeon. RNAcentral describes it as "signal recognition particle sRNA". It matches the Rfam family "Archaeal signal recognition particle RNA". Lineage: Archaea; Promethearchaeati; Candidatus Helarchaeota. The record is from RNAcentral.
GCGGUUACUAGGUUGAAAGCUAGGGCCUUUCUUUGCCAUAAGUGCUCUAUAGGAUGGACCGAAGCCGAUUGGAGAUGAUUCUGAAUAUAUAUACGCCUGAUUCCAUGGCAAUGAGAUGCCGCCCUUGGAAUUCUCCGUUAUAGAGGGACUUUCGUAGGAAAGUUUCCUACUAUAUUUAAUGAUCGAACCCAGCGAGGCUCGGGAGAGAGCAGCGUAAGGUCUAAGGUUGAAUGCUCAAGGUCAACGGCUUUGAGACCAGGUUUUGGAAACGAUUUAUAGGAUGACCAUCGAAUUUUGGGUAAUCGC